This is a long non-coding RNA of Acanthochromis polyacanthus (spiny chromis), 1313 nucleotides long. RefSeq lists it as uncharacterized. The record is from RefSeq and is a predicted model, not a curated record. The transcript is spliced from 5 exons. NCBI's taxonomy places the organism in Eukaryota, Metazoa, Chordata, Actinopteri, Pomacentridae.
AGCCACGUUGGAAUUUUGAUCUAAAUAAACGGAAGAAAUCCAAACAGGUCACAUCAAUGUAGCAGCAAGAGGAGAACGUGAAUUCUUUUUGCUUAGCUUUCAAUGCAGUCAAGGCUACAAUUUACGCAUCAGUGAAGCAAAAGUGGGUAAUUUGGCCAUCCGCGUUCCUUAAAUGUAUUUUAUCAUUUAAAUGUACGGGGAAUUUUACGCACGAAUCUGGAUUAAAGAAGGCGGACAUGGUGACUGGGUAAUCAGAUAUUCUUGUACUUCACGGACAGUGGAAUCUGGGCAUUUUUUUCCCCAUCACGAAUAUUCUCCAAUUUCACCACUAGAUGUCACCGUUUAGUCGUCUAGUCGACACCCUCCCAACCUUCCUCCUCCUCAUCCUCGAGAGAUCGAGCAGCCCUAAAUAAUCCGGUGUACUCUACCAAACUGCUUCACUAAUAUGUCUUUGAGCAAGAAGCCCAGCAUAGGUGGGGUAACGGACUCCCGUGGCUUUGAAUAUCUUUACGUGAGCCAGCCUGACCACUGGUGUUGAGCCACGAGGAGUUGAAGAGCAAGGUUCAAUGACGAGGGGAGUAGCCUACAGUGACUGCAUCCUGCUCUGGCUGCUAGAACAAAGUUUGUCCUCCCGGAAAAAAAACGUCCCACCAACUUGAUCGAGAAAGUGGCACGUAAACAACUUAUCAGCAGCACCGUCGGAUUUGGUUAACUGAGGGGUGAUGGAGAAAAAGAGCUGUGAAGAGGAAGUGCAGGCAGCAGGAAGUAGAGGUCAACACAAGAUCUCUGGGAUUUUGCUCUCCACUGGACCCACAUGAGGUUGGAUGGACACGUCAUUGAUUGUGACCCAUAAACAAGUGGCAUAAUGACUGGAGUCUCCACACUAAAGACGUCAAGGAUAUUCAGCUGAUCUCAGAGGCGAUGAGUUCUCCUGAUCCAGUGGGAAGGAGGCUGAAUUUCAGCAAGAAAGAAGCAUCAAGAUAUAUCUCACAUGCUUCAGUGACAAUAUCUCUAUGACAUGUGAACCUGCACUGUACUUUAUAUAUCUGUAUUUCUGUCAACUAGUUCUAAGAUUGUUGACCAAACUGACAAAUCCUCUCAACAAUAGACUGAAAAUAGUCAAUCCAACAAAUUCUUUGACUUUGCUCCAAUAGGCAUCAAUGUAUUUAUUUUUAAAUUUUUAUAGGGAGAACACUUCCCAAAAUAAGACAAAAAUAUUCCACACAUUACAACUUGCACCUAUUUCAUGUAAUUGAUUGAGUCUAACAAGGAUAUUUUUUGACAGCUAAAUAAAGAGUUUUUUCUCCCUGUAA